AUACUUACCUGGCAGGGGAGAUACCAUGAUCAUGAAGGUGGUUUUCCCAGGGCGAGGCUUAUCCAUUGCACUCGAGAUGUGCUGACCCCUGCGAUUUCCCCAAAUGUGGGAAACUCGACUGCAUAAUUUGUGGUGGUGAGGGAAUGCGUUCACGCUUUCCCCUG
Molecule: small nuclear RNA, 164 nt
Filed under: Saimiri boliviensis boliviensis (Bolivian squirrel monkey)
Lineage: Eukaryota; Metazoa; Chordata; Mammalia; Primates; Cebidae
Description: U1 spliceosomal RNA (ENSSBOG00000011018.1)
Rfam family: U1 spliceosomal RNA
About the family: U1 is a small nuclear RNA (snRNA) component of the spliceosome (involved in pre-mRNA splicing).
Source: Rfam by way of RNAcentral